GGCGACCUUUGGCGGCGCGCCUAACACAUGCAAGUCGAACGAGAGAGAAGGAGCUUGCUUCUUCGAUCGAGUGGCGAACGGGUGAGUAACGCGUGAGGAACCUGCCUCAAAGAGGGGGACAACAGUUGGAAACGACUGCUAAUACCGCAUAAGCCCGCGGGUCGGCAUCGAUCUGAGGGAAAAGGAGUGAUCCGCUUUGAGAUGGCCUCGCGUCCGAUUAGCUGGUUGGUGAGGUAAUGGCCCACCAAGGCGACGAUCGGUAGCCGGACUGAGAGGUUGAACGGCCACAUUGGGACUGAGACACGGCCCAGACUCCUACGGGAGGCAGCAGUGGGGAAUAUUGCACAAUGGGGGAAACCCUGAUGCAGCGACGCCGCGUGGAGGAAGAAGGUCUUCGGAUUGUAAACUCCUGUUGUUGAGGAAGAUAAUGACGGUACUCAACAAGGAAGUGACGGCUAACUACGUGCCAGCAGCCGCGGUAAAACGUAGGUCACAAGCGUUGUCCGGAAUUACUGGGUGUAAAGGGAGCGCAGGCGGGAAGACAAGUUGGAAGUGAAAUCUAUGGGCUCAACCCAUAAACUGCUUUCAAAACUGUUUUUCUUGAGUAGUGCAGAGGUAGGCGGAAUUCCCGGUGUAGCGGUGGAAUGCGUAGAUAUCGGGAGGAACACCAGUGGCGAAGGCGGCCUACUGGGCACCAACUGACGCUGAGGCUCGAAAGUGUGGGUAGCAAACAGGAUUAGAUACCCUGGUAGUCCACACCGUAAACGAUGAUUA
Molecule: ribosomal RNA, 774 nt
Filed under: uncultured bacterium
Lineage: Bacteria
Description: bacterial SSU rRNA
Rfam family: Bacterial small subunit ribosomal RNA
Source: RNAcentral